This 117-nucleotide small RNA is filed under the name Callithrix jacchus (white-tufted-ear marmoset). RNAcentral describes it as "Metazoan signal recognition particle RNA (ENSCJAG00000079246.1)". Lineage: Eukaryota; Metazoa; Chordata; Mammalia; Primates; Cebidae. The record is from Rfam by way of RNAcentral.
GCUGGGCAUGGUGGCUCACGCCUGUAAUCUCAGCUUUUUGGGAGGCCGAGUUGGGAGGAUCACUUGAGCCCAGGAGUUUGAUAUCAGCCUGGGCAAUACAGUGAGACCCCAUCUCUA